AUUGAACGCUGGCGGCAGGCCUAACACAUGCAAGUCGAGCGGAUGAAGGGAUCUUGCUCCUUGAUUCAGCGGCGGACGGGUGAGUAAUGCCUAGGAAUCUGCCUAGUAGUGGGGGAUACCGUCCGGAAACGGGCGCUAAUACCGCAUACGUCCUGAGGGAGAAAGUGGGGGAUCUUCGGACCUCACGCUAUCAGAUGAGCCUAGGUCGGAUUAGCUAGUUGGUGGGGUAAAGGCCUACCAAGGCGACGAUCCGUAACUGGUCUGAGAGGAUGAUCAGUCACACUGGAACUGAGACACGGUCCAGACUCCAACGGGAGGCAGCAGUGGGGAAUAUUGGACAAGGGGCGGAAGCCUGAUCCAGCCAUGCCGCGUGUGUGAAGAAGGUCUUCGGAUUGUAAAGCACUUUAAGUUGGGAGGAAGGGCAGUAAGUUAAUACCUUGCUGUUUUGACGUUACCAACAGAAUAAGCACCGGCUAACUUCGUG
RNAcentral lists this ribosomal RNA (484 nucleotides) under uncultured bacterium. Its description in RNAcentral is "partial 16S ribosomal RNA". It matches the Rfam family "Bacterial small subunit ribosomal RNA", at positions 30 to 507 of the family's 1533-position model. The record is from RNAcentral.